Molecule: transfer RNA, 85 nt
Filed under: Felis catus (domestic cat)
Lineage: Eukaryota; Metazoa; Chordata; Mammalia; Carnivora; Felidae
Rfam family: tRNA
About the family: Transfer RNA (tRNA) molecules are approximately 80 nucleotides in length. Their secondary structure includes four short double-helical elements and three loops (D, anti-codon, and T loops).
Source: Rfam by way of RNAcentral
GCCUGGGUGGCUCAGCUGGUUGAGCAUCUGACUUCAACUCAGGUCAUGAUCUUGCAGUUCAUGGGUUUGAGCCCCAUGUCGGGUU